This 82-nucleotide ribosomal RNA is filed under the name Paludibacteraceae bacterium. The record is from RNAcentral. Lineage: Bacteria; Pseudomonadati; Bacteroidota; Bacteroidia; Bacteroidales; Paludibacteraceae.
UCUUCCCAUUCCGAACAGAGAAGUUAAGCCUAAUCACGCCGAUGGUACUGCAAUUAUGUGGGAGAGUAGGUCGCCGCCGUUU